Leucoraja erinaceus (little skate) is the source of this 940-nucleotide long non-coding RNA. RefSeq lists it as uncharacterized. NCBI's taxonomy places the organism in Eukaryota, Metazoa, Chordata, Chondrichthyes, Rajiformes, Rajidae. The record is from RefSeq and is a predicted model, not a curated record. The transcript has 4 exons.
GGAGAAUCUGUAUUUUUAAAUACAAAUAAACAGACAUGCAUUCUAACUGAAACUCCAUGUGGUUUACAUGUGAUUCUGAUUGUUAUGAGAUUGCAUAAUCAUAUGGAAACAUGAUAUUCUCAUAAAUUUUUGGUAAGACCUCACAUCAAAACAUAAACAUCUGAUUCUCCCUUCCUUUCAAACUUACAGAAAUGUAGUAAUCAAGAAACCUGAUCAGUGGAACAGAUGUACUUCAGAUGCCUUAUCUUAUUCAAGCAAAGACCUUAACAAGAAAAGAAAGAGUUUGUACGUUCGUCCCGUGACAUGCGUGGGUUUUCUCCGAGAUCUGCGGUUUCCUCCCACACUCCAAAGAUGUACAGGAAAGAAUUCAAUAAUCAAAAACAUAAGAUUCUGCAAGCUAUAGUCUUAUGACUGAAAUUGAAAGUAAUCAGCAUUUCAAGUUCAAGAAAAAGAGAAUGAGACACAAGAGAUUACAGAUGCUGGAAUAUAUGUCAGGAAAAGAAGACCUUUGCUUCAAGAAAUAUGGCAAAGUAUGAUCAAGAAAGAAUUGGUAAUCAAUAUAUCAUUUUCUGUUAUGUUAUGUGUGCAUGAUCCUAGUAUACACAAAAUUUGCAUGCUCUUAAACAUCACCAUUUUACAUUAACACUCAUUUGUACUAUUUAAUAAAUGUAAAUGGAGGGCAGCCAUUUAUAAUUGGGAUGCAUAUGAAUUUCUUCUCGAAAAGGAUGAAUGCCUGGAAUCUAUGUUUGUGAAAACUUGAUAACUGGAGGCAAUUAAAGAAGUUCUUACAUAGGGCACCAGAAAUAGUCCUUGUAACAUAUAAUAGUUUCUAGCCAGAUGGGAUAUGCACACAUCUCUUCCAAAUGAAUUAGAAGGAAAUACUGUGUAGUGCUUUUACUUCAUAAAUGAAGCAGAAACUAUGUCAACAUUCAAGAUUAGA